UUUGACGUUUAUCAUCCAAAGAGUUGAGCGUGCAAAAGUGUAAUUCCGUUAUUCUACAGUUCUACAUUUAUCUGCUGGCUUAGGUAACUAUACUGUCAGUUCUACUAUGAGUAUUUUCAGUGUCGUCAAAGAAGCACCGCCUAUCGAAGUGUUCCAUCUAGUGAAAGUGUUUAAUGAAGAUGACAAUCCAUCAAAAGUAAAUUUGACCAUUGGGGCAUACAGGACGGAUGAAGGCAAACCGUUUUAUAUGCCUGUUGUGAAAAAGGCUGAAAGUGUGGUACUCGAGAAUACGUUAAAUCAUGAGUAUUUACCCAUAUUAGGCUUAGAAUCAUUUACUAAAGCUGCAUCACAACUUCUAUUGGGCAAUAUCGCUGAACGACAAGAAGAGGGAACUAUCUUUGGAGUUCAAUCAAUCAGUGGUUCUGGAGCAUUAAGAGUGGGUGCAGAAUUCUUAGUUAAACAUUUGAAAUGUACCACAUUCUAUUAUUCAAUACCAACUUGGGAAAAUCAUCAUUUGAUUUUCAUGACUAGUGGAUUUCAAAAUGCCAAAACUUAUCGCUAUUGGAAUGAAGAAACAAGAUCUCUUGAUUUUGAUGGAUUUUGUGAAGAUUUAUCAAAUGCACCAGAAAAUUCAGUUAUUAUAUUGCAUGGAUGUGCUCAUAAUCCAACUGGCUUAGAUCCAACUGAAGAUCAAUGGAAGAAAAUUGCAGAAAUUAUUAAAGAACAUAAUUUAAUACCGUUCUUUGAUAAUGCUUACCAAGGAUUUGCAUCUGGAGAUUUGGAAAAAGAUGCCUGGUCUGUACGAUAUUUUCUUAAUCAAGGGUUUGAAUUUUUAUGUUCACAAUCAUUUGCUAAAAACUAUGGACUUUAUAAUGAGCGUGCAGGAAACCUUACUUUUGUUCUGAAUUCUUUGGAAAAUGUUAAGGCUGUAAAAUCUCAGGUGACAAUGAUUGUUAGAGGGAUGUAUUCAAAUCCGCCAAACCAUGGUGCACGUACUGUCAGUACAAUAUUAAAUAAUGAUGAAUUAAAAAUGAAUGGAUGGAUACUUUAAAGUUAAUGACAGAUAGAAUUAAAGCUAUGAGAAAAGUUUUAAGAGAAAAUUUAGAAAAGCUUGGAACAAUUGGGACAUGGAAUCAUAUUACUGAUCAAACUGGAAUGUUUUCCUAUACAGGAUUAUCAGCAAGUCAUGUAGAAUACUUACGAAACAAAUACCAUAUUUACAUGUUGCGGUCGGGACGUAUUAACAUUUGUGGAUUGAAUACAAAUAAUAUAAAUUAUGUAGCUGAAGCAAUUACCGAUGCUUUAUUAAAUGUUACCAAGUAAAAAAAUAAAAAAUAAUAAGACCAUACCAAACAAAUUAUUUUUCAUGUUUAAUUCUAUGGACUAGAAAAAUUGUAAUUUAAUUAAAUGAACCUAAUUGAUAUUUACACAAUUAUGUAUUGUUUUAUGAUUAUUUCAACUAUCAAUUUGUUAAUUAUAUUAUACUAUUAAAUAACUUACCUUGAUUAUAAAUUAUUACUUAACACUUUGACUUGAGCGAUUCCCUUGUACAGAACAUUUUUUGUAAUAAUAGUAAUAAGUAUAAUAAAAAUAUAAAAAUUACCCAAAAUCUCAAACCACCGCGAAUUAAACAAUUUCAACCGUUUAUCUGUGCGGUAGCGCAAGCACAAAUAGCUUGUUGUAUGCUAGUAUUAUUGGGUGAGAUCAGAAAAUAAUACAGGUUGUUGACGCCCGCCGCAUAGAACACAUACGAUUUGUCGACGUCAGCAGUCAAAGUGUUAAUAAUAAAUACAUUUUUAGAGAUGCAAAUUUUACCAUACAUUUUCUGAUACAAAUAUUGUUUAAUAGUAUGACAUAUAAAUAAAUUAAAUAAAGCCAAAAGAUCAUUAUUUUAUAAUGAAAAUAGAUUUUUAAAUUAAAAGGAUUAAACAAAAAAUAUUUGAAAAAUAUACUGUAUAUUUAAUUUGCAUCUCUUAUAUAACCUCAUUAUAAUGAUUUGAAUAAUAUUGAUUAUUUAUCAUUUAAUACCUAUACCAAAAUUUCUUAUU
Molecule: unclassified non-coding RNA, 2048 nt
Filed under: Rhopalosiphum maidis (corn leaf aphid)
Lineage: Eukaryota; Metazoa; Arthropoda; Insecta; Hemiptera; Aphididae
Description: aspartate aminotransferase, cytoplasmic, transcript variant X2
Source: RNAcentral